RNAcentral lists this ribosomal RNA (523 nucleotides) under uncultured bacterium. RNAcentral's name for it is "bacterial SSU rRNA". It matches the Rfam family "Bacterial small subunit ribosomal RNA", at positions 230 to 769 of the family's 1533-position model. The record is from RNAcentral.
CCCGCGUUGGAUUAGGUAGUUGGUGGGGUAAUGGCCUACCAAGCCGACGAUCCAUAGCUGGUUUGAGAGGAUGAUCAGCAACACUGGGACUGAGACACGGCCCAGACUCCUACGGGAGGCAGCAGUGGGGAAUCUUAGACAAUGGGGGAAACCCUGAUCUAGCCAUGCCGCGUGAGCGAUGAAGGCCUUAGGGUUGUAAAGCUCUUUCAGAUGGGAAGAUAAUGACGGUACCAUCAGAAGAAGCCCCGGCUAACUCCGUGCCAGCAGCCGCGGUAAUACGGAGGGGGGCUAGCGUUGUUCGGAAUUACUGGGCGUAAAGCGCGCGUAGGCGGAUUGGAAAGUUGGGGGUGAAAUCCCGGGGCUCAACCUCGGAACUGCCUUCAAAACUCCCAGUCUUGAGUUCGAGAGAGGUGAGUGGAAUUCCGAGUGUAGAGGUGAAAUUCGUAGAUAUUCGGAGGAACACCAGUGGCGAAGGCGGCUCACUGGCUCGAUACUGACGCUGAGGUGCGAAAGCGUGGGGAGC